GCCUUUAUAGCUCAGUCGGGAGAGCGCAAGACUGAAGAUCUUGCGGUCCUCGGUUCGAUCCCGAGUGAAGGCA
This is a transfer RNA of Ichthyophthirius multifiliis, 73 nucleotides long. It matches the Rfam family "tRNA". Rfam says of the family: Transfer RNA (tRNA) molecules are approximately 80 nucleotides in length. Their secondary structure includes four short double-helical elements and three loops (D, anti-codon, and T loops). The record is from Rfam. NCBI's taxonomy places the organism in Eukaryota, Ciliophora, Oligohymenophorea, Hymenostomatida.